Molecule: ribosomal RNA, 253 nt
Filed under: uncultured bacterium
Lineage: Bacteria
Description: partial 16S ribosomal RNA
Rfam family: Bacterial small subunit ribosomal RNA
Source: RNAcentral
UACAGAGGGGGCAAGCGUUGUUCGGAAUUACUGGGCGUAAAGGGCGCGUAGGCGGCCAACUAAGUCAGACGUGAAAUCCCUCAGCUUAACUGGGGAACUGCGUCUGAUACUGGAUGGCUUGGAUUCGGGAGAGGAAUGCGGAAUUCCAGGUGUAGCGGUGAAAUGCGUAGAUAUCUGGAGGAACACCGGUGGCGAAGGCGGCAUUCUGGACCGAUAUUGACGCUGAGGAGCGAAAGCCAGGGGAGCAAACGGG